AUCUACCCGGAGCCAGACGCAUCAAAAGGCUCUCUUUCUCCGACUAACAACGAUACCAACUAAAUUAUAGCUAUAGAGGAUACGAAACUGGAUUAACCAAGAUGGGUGUGAAACAAGAUGGUGAUGGCACUAUUCUACCUCCAACCGAACUGGAGAAGAUACCUGAUGGGCUUGAUGUGAGUGUGAAGAAGUUUCUUAGAGGAAGCGAAACUAAUUUGGAG
Prunus mume (Japanese apricot) is the source of this 221-nucleotide non-coding RNA. Lineage: Eukaryota; Viridiplantae; Streptophyta; Magnoliopsida; Rosales; Rosaceae. The record is from RefSeq and is a predicted model, not a curated record.